RNAcentral lists this transfer-messenger RNA (412 nucleotides) under Parachlamydiaceae. RNAcentral's name for it is "JAJTHR01 sp013695355 Standard tmRNA". It matches the Rfam family "transfer-messenger RNA". From Rfam's summary of the family: Bacterial tmRNA, also known as 10Sa RNA or SsrA, is named for its dual tRNA and mRNA-like properties. Its role is to liberate the mRNA from a stalled ribosome. To accomplish this part of the tmRNA is used as a reading frame that ends in a translation stop signal. The record is from RNAcentral. RNAcentral also lists the same sequence under 1 other name. Lineage: Bacteria; Pseudomonadati; Chlamydiota; Chlamydiia; Parachlamydiales.
GGGGGUGUUACGGUUUCGACUAGGAAACGAAAAAUUGAUUGCAUGCGGAGGAUAUCGGUUGGCCUCCUAAAAAAACCGGUAAAAACAAUAAAUGCUAACAACAGCAAUUAUUUUGCAGACCAAAGAGCUCUUGAUGAGUCUUCUUGUGCUGCUGCCGCUGCUUAAGACCUAAUAGUUUUUCGCAGCCCGAUAGCCUGAGAUUGGACCAAGGAUUUCAGAAUCUAUCGUCAUUUACUUGGUAUGAAUUUCAACUUCGCCGUUUCUAGGAGUUGAUCUUUCGAGAUUAAAUGAAACAAACCGGUCUUAUUGGCGCGUUCUGCAUAGAGACUGGGGAUUUUACAGGACGAUAAGCAUGUAGUGGUUAAUUCGUAGUUUGCCAAGGACGAGAGUUCAAUUCUCUCCACCUCCAAAU